Molecule: ribosomal RNA, 497 nt
Filed under: uncultured bacterium
Lineage: Bacteria
Description: partial 16S ribosomal RNA
Rfam family: Bacterial small subunit ribosomal RNA
Source: RNAcentral
GAUGAACGCUGGCGGCGUGCCUAAUACAUGCAAGUCGAGCGAACGGACGAGAAUCUUCUUGUUCUGUUGUGAGCGGCGGGCGGGGAAGGGACACGUAGAUAGCCUACGUUUAAGACUGGGCUAGCUUCGGGAACCCGGAGCUAAGGCCGAAUAAUAGUUUGGACUGCAGGGUGCAAAAGGUAAAGGCGGUCGUGCUGUUAGUGGUAGGUGGAGCCGCGCUGCAUUAGCUAGUUGGUAGGGUAACGGCGGACCAAGGCAACGAUGCAUGGCCGACCUGAGGGGGUGAUCGUCCACAGUGGCACUGAGACACGGUCCAGACUCCUACGGGAGCCAGAAGUAGGGAAUCUUCCGCAAUGGGCGAAAGCCUGACGGAGCAACGCCGACUCAGUGAUGAAGGUCUUCGGAUCCUAAAACUCUGUUCUUAGCGAAGACCACAUGUGUACGUAACUGUGAACAUCUUGACGGUACCUAAUCAGAAAGCCCCGGCUAACUACGUG